RNAcentral lists this ribosomal RNA (1041 nucleotides) under Miridae gen. n. sp. Australia 353. RNAcentral describes it as "eukaryotic LSU rRNA". It matches the Rfam family "Eukaryotic large subunit ribosomal RNA", at positions 386 to 1151 of the family's 3401-position model. Lineage: Eukaryota; Metazoa; Arthropoda; Insecta; Hemiptera; Miridae. The record is from RNAcentral.
UCAGGGGUAAACGGAAAAGACCCGAAAUUUCCGAAGAGGGAGAUUCACGUCUUCUCGCGGGUUCGACGCAUCCACUCCUCUCCGACGACCCUGCCCCCGUUCGGACUCGUCCGGUGCGUGGCGGUGGGGUUGCAGAGGGUGGUGUGGAGGCCCGCGGCGGACCGCACUUCUCCCUUAGUAGGACGUCGUGACCCGUCCGGUCAUGGUCAUAAGGGUGUAGGGUGGAGCCUGGCCGAUCGUGCUUGCACGUCUUCGGUCAGACCCCCGCGCCCCGGCCAUGAAUUUCGGUCGGUAUCGAAUGACAGUGUUAGGUCACUUGCCGGGGGAGGAAACUCCUUCCAGUGAGUGCGUGCGGCUCUCGACAAGGUGCUGGGAUGUCGGUCAAGGCGGGCUCCCGUCCGUCUGGCCCCGCUCGGCCCUGUUGGUCUUGCUGCUCUCACGCUGGCCUAUCUACACUCGUCUACGGCGAAUCAGUUUUGGGCUCUUGUCCGACCCGUCUUGAAACACGGACCAAGGAGUUCAGCGUGUACGCGAGUCAUUGGGUGGUGAAACCCAAAGGCGUAAUGAAAGUGAAGGGAACUUUACGUUUCUGAGGGAGGAUGAGUCGGUUACCCGCAAGGGGCUGCUCCGCACUCCCGGGGCGUCUCUUUCUCAUUGCGAGUGGAGGCGCACCCAGAGCGUACACGCUGAUACCCGAAAGAUGGUGAACUAUGCCUGGCCAGGACGAAGCCAGGGGAAACCCUGGUGGAGGUCCGCAGCGAUUCUGACGUGCAAAUCGAUCGUCGGAGCUGGGUAUAGGGGCGAAAGACCAAUCGAACCAUCUAGUAGCUGGUUCCCUCCGAAGUUUCCCUCAGGAUAGCUUGCGCUCAUGUGAAAGAGUCUCAUCCGGUAGAGCGAAUGAUUAGAGGCCUUGGGGUCGAAACGACCUCAACCUAUUCUCAAACUCCAAAUAGAUGAGAACUCCGGCUUUCUUGAACUUUGUUUUUGAAGCCGGGGGCUCGGAUCAGAGUGCCAAGUGGGCCAAUUUUGGUAAGCAGAACU